RNAcentral lists this ribosomal RNA (253 nucleotides) under uncultured bacterium. Its description in RNAcentral is "partial 16S ribosomal RNA". It matches the Rfam family "Bacterial small subunit ribosomal RNA", at positions 524 to 776 of the family's 1533-position model. The record is from RNAcentral.
UACGUAGGGUGCAAGCGUUAAUCGGAAUUACUGGGCGUAAAGCGUGCGCAGGCGGUUAUGUAAGUCAGGUGUGAAAUCCCCGGGCUUAACCUGGGAACUGCAUUUGUGACUGCAUAGCUAGAGUACGGUAGAGGGGGAUGGAAUUCCGCGUGUAGCAGUGAAAUGCAUAGAUAUGCGGAGGAACACCGAUGGCGAAGGCAAUCCCCUGGACCUGUACUGACGCUCAUGCACGAAAGCGUGGGGAGCAAACAGG